AGGUUAGGAUUUCGGUUGAGAGGCUUGGGGUCUUGGCGUUUCGCCCACCAUCUCCUGAAGACAGGUUGGAGUCGAUAUCUGGGACGGGGGGGAGGUUGCGGUGCCCCUCAGGGCUACGUCUCAAGAGUGCUAUCAUUUCCGCAGGCCAGAUCAGAAAAGGGAGCUCAGGUACCUUCCAGAGAGUGAGACCCAGCGCCCUUGUCUCGCACCCCGUAGGCUUUCAUCCCCGCCAUGGCGGAGCUGAUCCAGAAGAAGCUGCAGGGAGAAGUGGAGAAAUAUCAACAGCUACAGAAGGACUUAAGUAAAUCCAUGUCGGGGAGGCAGAAACUUGAAGCACAACUAACAGAAAAUAAUAUCGUGAAAGAGGUGAGGGACUGGGAUUUGUGGGGCGAGGAGGGACCUGUACUAGCCAUGGUUCUGAUCACAUAUGUCCCAUCCCUCCAUCAGGAACUGGCCCUGCUGGAUGGGUCCAACGUGGUCUUUAAACUUCUGGGUCCGGUACUAGUCAAACAGGAGCUGGGGGAGGCUCGGGCCACAGUAGGGAAGAGGCUGGACUAUAUCACAGCUGAAAUGUGAGUUUUUAUUCCACCACCGUGUGCUGCAAGUGAAUCAUUGGAGUAGAGGUGUUGAACCAUUGCAGAACAGCUCUCCAUAGUGGCCCCUAGUCCUCCAGUUCCUCCAACCCUUUCCUUCCCUUUUAACCCCCCUUCUUCUCCCUCCCCUAGAUCUCAAGUUUUCCACCUAUCUCUUGCGUUUAGCACCCUCCAUAGUUAAGUCCUACUGAUUUCUCCCUUUCUGCUUGUCUCCCUUGUCUCUCCUUAGUAAGCGAUACGAAUCCCAGCUCCGGGAUCUUGAGCGGCAGUCAGAGCAACAGAGGGAGACCCUUGCUCAGCUGCAGCAGGAGUUCCAGCGGGCCCAGGCAGCAAAGGCAGGGGCUCCUGACAAGGCCUGACCCCAUGGUCGGGGGUGGGGAGGGGAGG
This 980-nucleotide small RNA is filed under the name Pongo abelii (Sumatran orangutan). RNAcentral describes it as "retained intron". Lineage: Eukaryota; Metazoa; Chordata; Mammalia; Primates; Hominidae. The record is from RNAcentral.